UGGUCAACAAGAGCUAGCUAGUUCCAGGAG
This 30-nucleotide non-coding RNA is filed under the name Cricetulus griseus (Chinese hamster). The record is from RNAcentral. Lineage: Eukaryota; Metazoa; Chordata; Mammalia; Rodentia; Cricetidae.